RNAcentral lists this ribosomal RNA (253 nucleotides) under uncultured bacterium. Its description in RNAcentral is "partial 16S ribosomal RNA". It matches the Rfam family "Bacterial small subunit ribosomal RNA", at positions 524 to 776 of the family's 1533-position model. The record is from RNAcentral.
UACGAAGGGGGCUAGCGUUGCUCGGAAUCACUGGGCGUAAAGCGCACGUAGGCGGAUCUUUAAGUCAGGGGUGAAAUCCUGGAGCUCAACUCCAGAACUGCCUUUGAUACUGGGGAUCUCGAGUCCGGAAGAGGUGAGUGGAACUCCGAGUGUAGAGGUGAAAUUCGUAGAUAUUCGGAAGAACACCAGUGGCGAAGGCGGCGAUCUGGGUCGAUACUGACGCUGAGGUGCGAAAGCGUGGGGAGCAAACAGG